This 657-nucleotide ribosomal RNA is filed under the name Steccherinum bourdotii. Its description in RNAcentral is "eukaryotic LSU rRNA". The stretch from base 215 to 368 matches the Rfam family "5.8S ribosomal RNA". Lineage: Eukaryota; Fungi; Basidiomycota; Agaricomycetes; Polyporales; Steccherinaceae. The record is from RNAcentral.
GGGUACUGCGGAGGUCAUUAAUGAAUGAAAUUGAGUGGGGUUGUAGCUGGCCUUUCACCGGGCAUGUGCACACCUCAUUCGACCACCUUCUACACCCCUGUGCACUUCUCAUGAGUUGGGCCGCGUCUGAAACACGACAAAGUCCGGCUCGUGUGUUUUAUACAAACGAAUCAUGUUACAGAAUGUCACUACCAUGCUUUGAAGCAUAUAAUACAACUUUCAACAACGGAUCUCUUGGCUCUCGCAUCGAUGAAGAACGCAGCGAAAUGCGAUAAGUAAUGUGAAUUGCAGAAUUCAGUGAAUCAUCGAAUCUUUGAACGCACCUUGCGCUCCUUGGUAUUCCGAGGAGCAUGCUUGUUUGAGUGUCAUGGUCUUCUCAACCCUUCCGUCUUUUUCACCGGAGACUGUCGGGCUUGGAUGUGGAGGUCUUGCAGGCAUCUGGAUCUUUUGAUUCAGAAGUCGGCUCCUCUGAAAUGCAUUAGCUUGAAUAGUACCAAGCAUGAUUCAGCGUGAUAAUUGUCUACGUUGCUUCGUCUCGGUGAAUUAAAUGUUCAAGCUUCUAACCGUCCCUUGGGACAAUCUCUGAACAUCUGACCUCAAAUCAAGUAGGACUACCCGCUGAACUUAAGCAUAUCAAUAAAGCGGAAGAAAAAUUUU